AGAGUUUGAUCAUGGCUCAGAUUGAACGCUGGCGGCAGGCCUAACACAUGCAAGUCGAACGGUAGCACAGAGAGCUUGCUCUCGGGUGACGAGUGGCGGACGGGUGAGUAAUGUCUGGGAAACUGCCUGAUGGAGGGGGAUAACUACUGGAAACGGUAGCUAAUACCGCAUAACGUCGCAAGACCAAAGAGGGGGACCUUCGGGCCUCUUGCCAUCAGAUGUGCCCAGAUGGGAUUAGCUAGUAGGUGGGGUAACGGCUCACCUAGGCGACGAUCCCUAGCUGGUCUGAGAGGAUGACCAGCCACACUGGAACUGAGACACGGUCCAGACUCCUACGGGAGGCAGCAGUGGGGAAUAUUGCACAAUGGGCGCAAGCCUGAUGCAGCCAUGCCGCGUGUAUGAAGAAGGCCUUCGGGUUGUAAAGUACUUUCAGCGGGGAGGAAGGUGUUGUGGUUAAUAACCACAGCAAUUGACGUUACCCGCAGAAGAAGCACCGGCUAACUCCGUGCCAGCAGCCGCGGUAAUACGGAGGGUGCAAGCGUUAAUCGGAAUUACUGGGCGUAAAGCGCACGCAGGCGGUCUGUCAAGUCGGAUGUGAAAUCCCCGGGCUCAACCUGGGAACUGCAUUCGAAACUGGCAGGCUAGAGUCUUGUAGAGGGGGGUAGAAUUCCAGGUGUAGCGGUGAAAUGCGUAGAGAUCUGGAGGAAUACCGGUGGCGAAGGCGGCCCCCUGGACAAAGACUGACGCUCAGGUGCGAAAGCGUGGGGAGCAAACAGGAUUAGAUACCCUGGUAGUCCACGCCGUAAACGAUGUCGAUUUGGAGGUUGUGCCCUUGAGGCGUGGCUUCCGGAGCUAACGCGUUAAAUCGACCGCCUGGGGAGUACGGCCGCAAGGUUAAAACUCAAAUGAAUUGACGGGGGCCCGCACAAGCGGUGGAGCAUGUGGUUUAAUUCGAUGCAACGCGAAGAACCUUACCUGGUCUUGACAUCCACAGAACUUUCCAGAGAUGGAUUGGUGCCUUCGGGAACUGUGAGACAGGUGCUGCAUGGCUGUCGUCAGCUCGUGUUGUGAAAUGUUGGGUUAAGUCCCGCAACGAGCGCAACCCUUAUCCUUUGUUGCCAGCGGUCCGGCCGGGAACUCAAAGGAGACUGCCAGUGAUAAACUGGAGGAAGGUGGGGAUGACGUCAAGUCAUCAUGGCCCUUACGACCAGGGCUACACACGUGCUACAAUGGCGCAUACAAAGAGAAGCGACCUCGCGAGAGCAAGCGGACCUCAUAAAGUGCGUCGUAGUCCGGAUUGGAGUCUGCAACUCGACUCCAUGAAGUCGGAAUCGCUAGUAAUCGUAGAUCAGAAUGCUACGGUGAAUACGUUCCCGGGCCUUGUACACACCGCCCGUCACACCAUGGGAGUGGGUUGCAAAAGAAGUAGGUAGCUUAACCUUCGGGAGGGCGCUUACCACUUUGUGAUUCAUGACUGGGGUGAAGUCGUAACAAGGUAACCGUAGGGGAACCUGCGGUUGGAUCACCU
This 1528-nucleotide ribosomal RNA is filed under the name Enterobacter cloacae. RNAcentral describes it as "bacterial SSU rRNA". It matches the Rfam family "Bacterial small subunit ribosomal RNA". The record is from RNAcentral. Lineage: Bacteria; Pseudomonadati; Pseudomonadota; Gammaproteobacteria; Enterobacterales; Enterobacteriaceae.